RNAcentral lists this ribosomal RNA (200 nucleotides) under uncultured organism. RNAcentral describes it as "partial small subunit ribosomal RNA". It matches the Rfam family "Bacterial small subunit ribosomal RNA", at positions 1184 to 1382 of the family's 1533-position model. The record is from RNAcentral.
GUCAAGUCAUCAUGGCCUUUAUGUCCAGGGCUGCACACGUGCUACAAUGCCGCGUACAAAGGGAUGCCAACCCGCGAGGGGGAGCCAAUCCCAAAAAGCGCGGCCCAGUUCGGAUUGCAGGCUGCAACUCGCCUGCAUGAAGCCGGAAUCGCUAGUAAUCGCAGGUCAGCUAUACUGCGGUGAAUGUGUUCCUGAGCCUU